Nilaparvata lugens (brown planthopper) is the source of this 1846-nucleotide RNA transcript. RefSeq lists it as uncharacterized. NCBI's taxonomy places the organism in Eukaryota, Metazoa, Arthropoda, Insecta, Hemiptera, Delphacidae. The transcript is spliced from 4 exons. The record is from RefSeq and is a predicted model, not a curated record.
UUACUUUUCGAGUUUCGAGUCGGUCAAUCUCUUUUCUUUCUGUUAACAAAUUACUUAUUAUUCUAUUCAAUUAACUAACUUUUCAAAUCCUCAUUAUUUCCAAUUGAGAUUUGAAUGAUGAUUUCUUUGGAGUUACGCUGAUUGAAUUUCUCUGAUUACAAAUUAGAAAAAUAACCUCUAACAACUCAUUCAACAAUAUUUCAACUCAACAUCAUUGUUAUGGAUUCAGGUUUUGUGAAGACAUGAAUAAAUGAUAAUUGAACUAAGUUCAAUUCAUUGUUCAAUUUAUUGAUCAGAAACUGAUCCACUCAUAACAGAACUUGAACAUGAAAAGUCUGCCAGUAAGAUCAAUAUUUUUACAUCACAUCUAUCCACCAUAGCUGCUAUUUUAAUUUGGCUAGUCAGGAUCAUAUUAUAAACACGCCGCUUUCAUCCUGGGUAUGCACUAGUUGACACAAAGCUGGAGGCCGGACGGGGUUCCAAGACUCCGUUUCUAACGAGUUGUGGAAAAUAUCAACACUUCAGAAGGUGAACGCUCUUAGACUGAAAGAAAUUGAUCGCCAAUCAAUCAAGCAAGCAGUCUUUCCUAUCAAUGAUUUCGGCAAGUCAGCAUCUGCAUUAUGUAUACAAUCAUACACCACAUUCAUCUUGUGUGUGCACUACUUGACACCAAGUGGGCGCUGGAGCUUCAAGACUUCGAUUCCAAUCAACUACAUAGUUGCGGACAAAUCAACACUUCGGAAGCUGAACGCUCAUGGAUUGAGAAGAUGGAUCACCAGCCAAUCAAGACAUCUACAUUAUCAAUGGUACUCAGUAUAUUUUCACAAUUCAUCGAAUCAUAGUGGAAUAGAAUCAGAUAAGUUAAAUGUAAAACAGGCCUUAGUUCAAUGAAUCAUCAUAAGUUGACCUAUGACCAGUAUCUAUUCUCAAUUGGAAAAUUGGAGAUUCUCAAUUCGAAAAUAAAGUGAUAUAAACUGUAUGAACCUAAUUCGAAUUACUUAAGUUCACUGAAUGAUAGAAACACCAUUAAGUUGAUAAUAAUGUGACCAAAACAAUCCAGAUGAUUGGAUUAAUAAAUGGAUAGAAAUUGCUGCAGUAAAUAAUAAUAAGGUUCCAAUUCCAGUCAUAAUUAGGUACUAAUUCUAGAAAAUAUUUUAGUAAAUAAUAAUGAGAUACUAGUUUUAGUCUCCAAAGUUUUCCACGAACAAAUACUUACACUUACUGAUUUUUUAUUGGACUAAGAUCUAUUUUGUUGUACUAGCAGAACAUGAAGUAAUGAACUAGCGUUAACUUAUAUAAGGUUCCUUGCAUUCCACUGUACAUACAUGAAUUAUAAAUAUGAAGAAAAUAAAAAUCUCAGUACCCUUUUUUUAAAAUAUUUUAUCACAACAUGUUUCGGUCAUUUUUAUGUCAUUUAUACAUGACUUAUAUUUAUUUAUUAUGAAGUUUCCUUAAAAACAAUUUUAAUUCUUAAGUAAAUAUUCUUUUAGUAUAGCAUUUUUAGAAAACUCACUGAAAGGAAGAAUACUUGUAUUUACAGUGAAAUGCAAGGCUUCAUCACUAUAAAGUAAUUUUAACUCAGCACUCACUUGAGUACUUUAUGUAAUGUUUAUUUAGACAAUUCUAGGUUCUAGAUCAGUGUUUUUGAACCUAUUUAAUACGGCACACUACUGUUAUGCAAAACGUCUGACUAAAGUUGUAUUGGAAAAAGAUCAAAAGAGAUUAUUCAUAAAAUGCAAAACCAAGAUACACAGAUCCUUCAUGUUACAACAGGAUAAUAAUUUCUUUACUAAUCCAUUCAAUACUCAGCAUAUCUUAUAAUGCUCUAAAAAUAUCCAAUCACUGA